This 499-nucleotide ribosomal RNA is filed under the name uncultured bacterium. Its description in RNAcentral is "bacterial SSU rRNA". It matches the Rfam family "Bacterial small subunit ribosomal RNA", at positions 28 to 509 of the family's 1533-position model. The record is from RNAcentral.
GACGAACGCUGGCGGCGUGCCUAAUACAUGCAAGUCGAGCGGGCUUAUUCGAGUAGCUUGCUAUUUGGAUAAGUCAGCGGCGGACGGGUGAGUAACACGUGGGUAAUCUGCCUCGUAGUCUGGGAUAACAAGCCGAAAGGUUUGCUAAUACCGGAUGAGUUCAUGUUAUUGCAUAGUGACAUGAAGAAAGGGGAGACCCGCUAUGAGAUGAGCCCGCGUCCCAUUAGCUAGUUGGUGGGGUAAAGGCCUACCAAGGCGACGAUGGGUAGCCGGCCUGAGAGGGUGGACGGCCACACUGGGACUGAGACACGGCCCAGACUCCUACGGGGGGCAGCAGUGGGGAAUUUUGGACAAUGGGCGCAAGCCUGAUCCAGCAAUGCCGCGUGCAGGAUGAAGGCCUUCGGGUUGUAAACUGCUUUUGUACGGAACGAAACGGUGAGCUCUAAUAAAGCUUGCUAAUGACGGUACCGUAAGAAUAAGCACCGGCUAACUCCGUGCC